Molecule: ribosomal RNA, 781 nt
Filed under: uncultured bacterium
Lineage: Bacteria
Description: bacterial SSU rRNA
Rfam family: Bacterial small subunit ribosomal RNA
Source: RNAcentral
GCUUACCAUGCAGUCGAACGAUACCCUGGGGCUUGCUCCAGGGAUAAGUGGCGCACGGGUGAGUAAUACGUAGGUAAUGUUCCCGUUGGUUUGGAAUAACCUGCCGAAAGGCGGGCUAAUACCUUAUAAGUUCCCUUGGAGCUCGCUCUGGGGGAAGAAAGCAGGGCAACUUGCGCCGACGGAUCAGCCUGCGUCCCAUCAGCUAGUUGGUGAGGUAACGGCUCACCAAGGCUACGACGGGUAGCUGGUCUGAGAGGAUGAUCAGCCACACUGGGACUGAGACACGGCCCAGACUCCUACGGGAGGCAGCAGUGGGGAAUAUUGGACAAUGGGCGCAAGCCUGAUCCAGCAAUGCCGCGUGAGUGAUGAAGGCCUUCGGGUUGUAAAGCUCUGUCGGGAGGGACGAAAAAACGGAUUAACAAACCGUAUUGACGGUACCUUCAAAGGAAGCACCGGCUAACUCUGUGCCAGCAGCCGCGGUAAUACAGAGGGUGCAAGCGUUGUUCGGAAUUACUGGGCGUAAAGCGCGUGUAGGCGGCGAUGUAAGUCGGAUGUGAAAGCCCUCGGCUCAACCGAGGAAGUGCAUCCGAUACUGCUUUGCUUGAGUACCGGAGGGGAUGGCGGAAUUCCCGGUGUAGAGGUGAAAUUCGUAGAUAUCGGGAGGAACACCUGUGGCGAAGGCGGCCAUCUGGACGGUAACUGACGCUGAGGCGCGAAAGCGUGGGUAGCAAACAGGAUUAGAUACCCUGGUAGUCCACGCUGUAAACGAUGAGUGCUAGAC